GGAAGAAGCGAAAGUGACGGUACCUGCAGAAGAAGCGCCGGCUAACUACGUGCCAGCAGCCGCGGUAAUACGUAGGGCGCAAGCGUUAUCCGGAUUUAUUGGGCGUAAAGAGCUCGUAGGCGGUUUGUCGCGUCUGCCGUGAAAGUCCGAGGCUCAACCUCGGAUCUGCGGUGGGUACGGGCAGACUAGAGUGAUGUAGGGGAGACUGGAAUUCCUGGUGUAGCGGUGAAAUGCGCAGAUAUCAGGAGGAACACCGAUGGCGAAGGCAGGUCUCUGGGCAUUUACUGACGCUGAGGAGCGAAAGCAUGGGGAGCGAACAGGAUUAGAUACCCUGGUAGUCCAUGCCGUAAACGUUGGGCACUAGGUGUGGGGGACAUUCCACGUUUUCCGCGCCGUAGCUAACGCAUUAAGUGCCCCGCCUGGGGAGUACGGCCGCAAGGCUAAAACUCAAAGGAAUUGACGGGGGCCCGCACAAGCGGCGGAGCAUGCGGAUUAAUUCGAUGCAACGCGAAGAACCUUACCAAGGCUUGACAUGUGCCAGACCGCUUCAGAGAUGGAGUUUCCCUUCGGGGCUGGUUCACAGGUGGUGCAUGGUUGUCG
Molecule: ribosomal RNA, 600 nt
Filed under: Glutamicibacter arilaitensis
Lineage: Bacteria; Bacillati; Actinomycetota; Actinomycetes; Micrococcales; Micrococcaceae
Description: bacterial SSU rRNA
Rfam family: Bacterial small subunit ribosomal RNA
Source: RNAcentral